Molecule: ribosomal RNA, 255 nt
Filed under: uncultured bacterium
Lineage: Bacteria
Description: partial 16S ribosomal RNA
Rfam family: Bacterial small subunit ribosomal RNA
Source: RNAcentral
CGUAGGUGGCAAGCGUUGUCCGGAUUUACUGGGCGUAAAGAGCGCGCAGGCGGCCGAGUAAGUCGAAUGUGAAAGCCCCCGGCUCAACUGGGGAAGGGUCAUUCGAUACUGUUCGGCUUGAAGAUAGGAGAGGGAAGCGGAAUUUCAGGUGUAGUGGUGAAAUGCGUAGAUAUCUGAAGGAACACCAGUGGCGAAGGCGGCUUUCUGGCCUAUUCUUGACGCUGAGGCGCGAAAGCUAGGGGAGCGAACGGGAUU